UACGUAGGGUGCGAGCGUUGUCCGGAAUUAUUGGGCGUAAAGGGCUCGUAGGCGGUUUGUCGCGUCGGGAGUGAAAACCUUGGGCUUAACUCAGGGCUUGCUUUCGAUACGGGCAGACUAGAGGUAUGCAGGGGAGAACGGAAUUCCUGGUGUAGCGGUGAAAUGCGCAGAUAUCAGGAGGAGCACCAGCGGCGAAGGCGGCGCUCUGGGCCGGAACUGACGCUGAGGAGCGAAAGCGUGGGGAGCGAACAGG
This 253-nucleotide ribosomal RNA is filed under the name uncultured bacterium. Its description in RNAcentral is "partial 16S ribosomal RNA". It matches the Rfam family "Bacterial small subunit ribosomal RNA", at positions 524 to 776 of the family's 1533-position model. The record is from RNAcentral.